UUGUGGAGUUUAUACGUUCUGCCAUUGUUUUUCUAUUGGAACACUAUUGGUAACACCCUUAAAUCUAGCAUAGGAUUGCAAAGAGUACUGCAGAAGCAGUUUAUAAACUUGAUUGAGAUGGUGGUAAUUUGGGUCGAUCUCAUUUGAGGAAAUUAAUGUGUCACGGAAAAUAGUAUUAGCUGUUGAAAUUGAGCUUUGUGGAUAUCAAUAAUAGGUGUGUAUAAGAUGCAACAGUGGUUACGUGUUCAUAUUUGUAGAUCGGUAAGAACAAAAUGUAAGGGCUCAUUGAUAAUUACAAGGAUGAAUAUAUUUUUUUAUCUUAAAAUUAAAUGAAGCCUUUGCAAUUUUCUGUCUUGAAAAUGCUCACUCUACAUAUUCAAAUUAUUAAUAUGCAUAUGGUGGGAAACCCAGUUUUAGACCGGGAAGUUUCCAUCUACUAAAAUCUAAUGGCCGGCACCCAGUGCAUAGUUUGCAACGCCUGCAAAUUCUCAGCAUUUCGGUUCUUAUGUUGAGCUUUUGCUUGCUUUCCUGCAUCAUUGAUUUCAAUAUGGAUCAAAGAUUAAUACGUGCUUCUCAACAAGGGAAUACUGAUGAAUUAUAUGGAUUACUUGAAGAGAAUGGAUAUCUUCUGGAGAGAAUUGAUCAGAUACCUUUUAUUGACACUCCGCUACACAUAGCUGCAUCUGCAGGGCAUGUGGAAUUUGCACUGGAAGUUAUCAACUUAAAACCAUCGUUUGCCAGAAAGCUUAGUCCAAGUGGAUUU
This 763-nucleotide long non-coding RNA is filed under the name Carica papaya (papaya). Its description in RNAcentral is "long non-coding RNA (CPAP_LNC012911)". Lineage: Eukaryota; Viridiplantae; Streptophyta; Magnoliopsida; Brassicales; Caricaceae. The record is from RNAcentral.